GAAGGGGGCUAGCGUUGUUCGGAAUUACUGGGGCGUAAAGCGCGCGUAGGCGGAUUGUUAAGUCAGGGGUGAAAUCCCGAGGCUCAACCUCGGGAACUGCCUUUGAUACUGGCAAUCUGGAGAUCGAGAGAGGUAAGUGGAAUUCCGAGUGUAGAGGUGAAAUUCGUAGAUAUUCGGAGGAACACCAGAGGCGAAGGCGGCUUACUGGCUCGAUACUGACGCUGAGGCGCGAAAGCGUGGGGAGCAAACAGGAUUAGAUACCCUGGUAGUCCACGCCGUAAACGAUGGAUGCUAGCCGUUGGACAGCAUGCUGUUCAGUGGCGCAGCUAACGCAUUAAGCAUCCCGCCUGGGGAGUACGGUCGCAAGAUUA
Molecule: ribosomal RNA, 371 nt
Filed under: uncultured organism
Description: partial 16S ribosomal RNA
Rfam family: Bacterial small subunit ribosomal RNA
Source: RNAcentral